CGGCUUGCGCGCCGCCGCCGCCCGGCCUAUAUCCCUCCGUGCCGGCCUCGGCCGGCUAUGACGAUAAAUGAUGCCGUGUAAUAGACGCAGCGGACCCGGGGGCAGUACCCGGCGGCUCCACCACAAGCCUCGCUUUCAGAGAGGCUUCUGACGGGGCCGAACCAGGAUCGACGUGUGUUCAAAGGCGGUGUUUUCGUCCGGCCUGAUUGAGCCGUUAAACCGAUCAAAUCCACAAGUGCCAACGACAACGAGGCGCUCGCUCUGGCCGCGUAACUGAACCCUCACGGGUGACGUUACCACAACCAUAGCGCGGUUCGGUCCGCACCGGGCAACAGAAGCGGAAUCCA
This 347-nucleotide transfer-messenger RNA is filed under the name Sphingomonas morindae. It matches the Rfam family "Alphaproteobacteria transfer-messenger RNA". From Rfam's summary of the family: Bacterial tmRNA, also known as 10Sa RNA or SsrA, is named for its dual tRNA and mRNA-like properties. Its role is to liberate the mRNA from a stalled ribosome. Lineage: Bacteria; Pseudomonadati; Pseudomonadota; Alphaproteobacteria; Sphingomonadales; Sphingomonadaceae. The record is from RNAcentral.